RNAcentral lists this ribosomal RNA (460 nucleotides) under uncultured bacterium. RNAcentral's name for it is "partial 16S ribosomal RNA". It matches the Rfam family "Bacterial small subunit ribosomal RNA", at positions 338 to 795 of the family's 1533-position model. The record is from RNAcentral.
CCUACGGGCGGCAGCAGUGAGGAAUAUUGGUCAAUGGGCUUACGCCUGAACCAGCCAAGUCGCGUGAGGGAAGACUGCCCUAUGGGUUGUAAACCUCUUUUGUCAGGGAGCAAUUGGCGCUACGUGUAGCGUUAUCGAGAGUACCUGAAGAAAAAGCAUCGGCUACCUCCGUACCAGAAGCCGCGGUAAUACGGAGGGUGCGAGCGUUAGCGGGAUUUAUUGGGUUUAAAGGGUGCGUAUGGGGAAUGCCAAGUCAGCGGUAAAAUGGUGGGGCUAAACCGCGGUCCGCCGUUGAAACUGGCGGUCGUGAGUGGGCGAGAAGUAUGCGGAAUUCGUGGUGUAGCGGUGAAAUGCAUAGAUAUCACGCAGAACUCCGAUUGCGAAGGCAGCAUACCGGCGCCCAACUGACGCUGAAGCACGAAAGCGUGGGUAUCGAACAGGAUUAGAUACCCCAGUAGUC